GAUGAAGAACGCAGCGAAAUGCGAUAAGUAGUGUGAAUUGCAGAAUUCAGUGAAUCAUCGAAUCUUUGAACGCACAUUGCGCCCUUUGGUAUUCCAAAGGGCAUGCCUGUUCGAGCGUCAUUUGUACCGUCAAGCUUUGCUUGGUGUUGGGCGUCUUGUCUCUAGCUUUGCUGGAGACUCGCCUUAAAGUAAUUGGCAGCCGGCCUACUGGUUUCGGAGCGCAGCACAAGUCGCACUCUCUAUCAGCAAAGGUCUAGCAUCCAUUAAGCCUUUUUUUCAACUUUUGACCUCGGAUCAGGUAGGGAUACCCGCUGAACUUAAGCAUAUCAAUAAGCGGAGGA
This 341-nucleotide unclassified non-coding RNA is filed under the name soil metagenome. RNAcentral describes it as "partial contains 5.8S ribosomal RNA, internal transcribed spacer 2, and large subunit ribosomal RNA". The stretch from base 1 to 120 matches the Rfam family "5.8S ribosomal RNA", at positions 35 to 154 of the family's 154-position model. The record is from RNAcentral.